This 430-nucleotide ribosomal RNA is filed under the name uncultured bacterium. RNAcentral describes it as "partial 16S ribosomal RNA". It matches the Rfam family "Bacterial small subunit ribosomal RNA", at positions 29 to 507 of the family's 1533-position model. The record is from RNAcentral.
AACGAACGCUGGCGGCAGGCCUAACACAUGCAAGUCGAACGCCCCGCAAGGGGAGUGGCAGCCGGGUGAGUAACACGUGGGAACCUUCCCUAUAGUACGGAAUAGCCCAGGGAAACUUGGAGUAAUACCGUAUACGCCCGAAAGGGGAAAGAAUUUCGCUAUAGGAUGGGCCCGCGUAGGAUUAGCUAGUUGGUGAGGUAAUGGCUCACCAAGGCGACGAUCCUUAGCUGGUUUGAGAGAACGACCAGCCACACUGGGACUGAGACACGGCCCAGACUCCUACAGGAGGCAGCAGUGGGGAAUAUUGGACAAUGGGCGCAAGCCUGAUCCAGCCAUGCCGCGUGAGUGAUGAAGGCCUUAGGGUUGUAAAGCUCUUUUGGCGGGGACGAUAAUGACGGUACCCGCAGAAUAAGUCCCGGCUAACUUCGUG